Molecule: ribosomal RNA, 555 nt
Filed under: uncultured bacterium
Lineage: Bacteria
Description: partial 16S ribosomal RNA
Rfam family: Bacterial small subunit ribosomal RNA
Source: RNAcentral
UGGGGAAUAUUGCACAAUGGGCGCAAGCCUGAUGCAGCCAUGCCGCGUGUGUGAAGAAGGCCUUCGGGUUGUAAAGCACUUUCAGCGAGGAGGAAGGUGGUGAGCUUAAUACGCUCAUCAAUUGACGUUACUCGCAGAAGAAGCACCGGCUAACUCCGUGCCAGCAGCCGCGGUAAUACGGAGGGUGCAAGCGUUAAUCGGAAUUACUGGGCGUAAAGCGCACGCAGGCGGUUUGUUAAGUCAGAUGUGAAAUCCCCGGGCUCAACCUGGGAACUGCAUUUGAAACUGGCAAGCUAGAGUCUCGUAGAGGGGGGUAGAAUUCCAGGUGUAGCGGUGAAAUGCGUAGAGAUCUGGAGGAAUACCGGUGGCGAAGGCGGCCCCCCUGGACGAAGACUGACGCUCAGGUGCGAAAGCGUGGGGCAGCAAACAGGAUUAGAUACCCUGGUAGUCCACGCUGUAAACGAUGUCGAUUUGGAGGUUGUGCCCUUGAGGCGUGGCUUCCGGAGCUAACGCGUUAAAUCGACCGCCUGGGGAGUACGGCCGCAAGGUUAAAAC